UGGGGAAUAUUGGACAAUGGGCGAAAGCCUGAUCCAGCCAUGCCGCGUGUGUGAAGAAGGUCUUCGGAUUGUAAAGCACUUUAAGUUGGGAGGAAGGGCAGUAAGCUAAUACCUUGCUGUUUUGACGUUACCGACAGAAUAAGCACCGGCUAACUCUGUGCCAGCAGCCGCGGUAAUACAGAGGGUGCAAGCGUUAAUCGGAAUUACUGGGCGUAAAGCGCGCGUAGGUGGUUUGUUAAGUUGGAUGUGAAAGCCCCGGGCUCAACCUGGGAACUGCAUCCAAAACUGGCAAGCUAGAGUACGGAAGAGGGUGGUGGAAUUUCCUGUGUAGCGGUGAAAUGCGUAGAUAUAGGAAGGAACACCAGUGGCGAAGGCGACCACCUGGACUAAUACUGACACUGAGGUGCGAAAGCGUGGGGAGCAAACA
This 427-nucleotide ribosomal RNA is filed under the name uncultured bacterium. RNAcentral describes it as "partial 16S ribosomal RNA". It matches the Rfam family "Bacterial small subunit ribosomal RNA", at positions 355 to 774 of the family's 1533-position model. The record is from RNAcentral.